This 463-nucleotide ribosomal RNA is filed under the name uncultured Klebsiella sp. Its description in RNAcentral is "bacterial SSU rRNA". It matches the Rfam family "Bacterial small subunit ribosomal RNA", at positions 339 to 795 of the family's 1533-position model. Lineage: Bacteria; Pseudomonadati; Pseudomonadota; Gammaproteobacteria; Enterobacterales; Enterobacteriaceae. The record is from RNAcentral.
CUACGGGUGGCAGCAGUGGGGAAUAUUGCACAAUGGGCGCAAGCCUGAUGCAGCCAUGCCGCGUGUGUGAAGAAGGCCUUCGGGUUGUAAAGCACUUUCAGCGGGGAGGAAGGCGGUGAGGUUAAUAACCUCAUCGAUUGACGUUACCCGCAGAAGAAGCACCGGCUAACUCCGUGCCAGCAGCCGCGGUAAUACGGAGGGUGCAAGCGUUAAUCGGAAUUACUGGGCGUAAAGCGCACGCAGGCGGUCUGUCAAGUCGGAUGUGAAAUCCCCGGGCUCAACCUGGGAACUGCAUUCGAAACUGGCAGGCUAGAGUCUUGUAGAGGGGGGUAGAAUUCCAGGUGUAGCGGUGAAAUGCGUAGAGAUCUGGAGGAAGACCAGUGGCGAAGGCGGCCCCCUGGACAAAGACUGACGCUCAGGUGCGAAAGCGUGGGGAGCAAACAGGAUUAGAACCCGUGUAGUC